GACGAACGCUGGCGGCGUGCUUAACACAUGCAAGUCGAACGGAAAGGCCCUGCUUUUGUGGGGUGCUCGAGUGGCGAACGGGUGAGUAACACGUGAGUAACCUGCCCUUGACUUUGGGAUAACUUCAGGAAACUGGGGCUAAUACCGGAUAGGAGCUCCUGCUGCAUGGUGGGGGUUGGAAAGUUUCGGCGGUAGGGGAUGGACUCGCGGCUUAUCAGCUUGUUGGUGGGGUAGUGGCUUACCAAGGCUUUGACGGGUAGCCGGCCUGGGAGGGUGACCGGCCACAUUGGGCCUGAGAUACGGCCCAGACUCCUACGGGAGGCAGCAGUGGGGAAUAUUGCACAAUGGGCGGAAGCCUGAUGCAGCAACGCCGCGUGCGGGAUGACGGCCUUCGGGUUGUAAACCGCUUUCGCCUGUGACGAAGCGUGAGUGACGGUAAUGGGUAAAGAAGCACCGGCUAACUACGUG
RNAcentral lists this ribosomal RNA (468 nucleotides) under uncultured bacterium. RNAcentral's name for it is "partial 16S ribosomal RNA". It matches the Rfam family "Bacterial small subunit ribosomal RNA", at positions 28 to 507 of the family's 1533-position model. The record is from RNAcentral.